RNAcentral lists this ribosomal RNA (651 nucleotides) under Parasphingorhabdus litoris. RNAcentral's name for it is "bacterial SSU rRNA". It matches the Rfam family "Bacterial small subunit ribosomal RNA", at positions 66 to 752 of the family's 1533-position model. The record is from RNAcentral. Lineage: Bacteria; Pseudomonadati; Pseudomonadota; Alphaproteobacteria; Sphingomonadales; Sphingorhabdaceae.
ACGAGACCUAACCUUCGGGUGAAAGUCUAGUGGCGCACGGGUGCGUAACACGUGGGAAUCUACCUUGGGGUACGGAAUAACGCAGAGAAAUUUGUGCUAAUACCGUAUAAUGACUUCGGUCCAAAGAUUUAUCGCCCUUAGAUGAGCCCGCGCAAGAUUAGCUAGUUGGUGAGGUAAAAGCUCACAAAGGCGACGAUCUUUAGCUGGUCUGAGAGGAUGAUCAGCCACACUGGGACUGAGACACGGCCCAGACUCCUACGGGAGGCAGCAGUGGGGAAUAUUGGACAAUGGGCGAAAGCCUGAUCCAGCAAUGCCGCGUGAGUGAUGAAGGCCUUAGGGUUGUAAAGCUCUUUUACUAGGGAUGAUAAUGACAGUACCUAGAGAAUAAGCUCCGGCUAACUCCGUGCCAGCAGCCGCGGUAAUACGGAGGGAGCUAGCGUUGUUCGGAAUUACUGGGCGUAAAGCGCGCGUAGGCGGUUAUCCAAGUCAGAGGUGAAAUCCCGGAGCUUAACUCCGGAACUGCCUUUGAAACUAGAUAACUAGAAUCUUGGAGAGGCGAGUGGAAUUCCGAGUGUAGAGGUGAAAUUCGUAGAUAUUCGGAAGAACACCAGUGGCGAAGGCGACUCGCUGGACAAGUAUUGACGCUGAGGU